This 460-nucleotide ribosomal RNA is filed under the name uncultured bacterium. RNAcentral's name for it is "partial 16S ribosomal RNA". It matches the Rfam family "Bacterial small subunit ribosomal RNA", at positions 338 to 795 of the family's 1533-position model. The record is from RNAcentral.
CCUACGGGAGGCAGCAGUGAGGAAUAUUGGUCAAUGGGCUUACGCCUGAACCAGCCAAGUCGCGUGAGGGAAGACUGCCCUAUGGGUUGUAAACCUCUUUUGUCAGGGAGCAAAUGGCGCUACGGGUAGCGUUAUAGAGAGUACCUGAAGAAAAAGCAUCGGCUAACUCCGUGCCAGCAGCCGCGGGAAUACGGAGGAUGCGAGCGUUAUCCGGAUUUAUUGGGUUUAAAGGGUGCGUAGGCGGAAUGCCAAGUCAGCGGUAAAAUCGCGGGGCUCAACCCCGCUCCGCGGUUGAUACUAGCGUACUUGAGUGGGCGAGAGGUAUGCGGAAUGCGAGGUGUAGCGGUGAAAUGCAUAGAUAUCACGCAGAACUCCGAAGGCGAAGGCAGCAUACCGGCGCCAAACUGACGCUGAGGCACGAAAGCGUGGGUAUCGAACAGGAUUAGAUACCCGGGUAGUC